AACGAACGCUGGCGGCAGGCCUAACACAUGCAAGUCGAGCGAUCCCUUCGGGGAUAGCGGCGGACGGGUGAGUAACGCGUGGGAACGUACCCUUUGCUACGGAAUAGCCUCGGGAAACUGGGAGUAAUACCGUAUGUGCCCUUCGGGGGAGUAGAUUUAUUCGGCGAAAGGAAUCGGCCCGGCCGUUGGAUUAGGUAGUUGGUGGGGUAAGUGGCCUACCAAGCCGACGAUCCAUAGCUGGUUUGAGAGGAUGAUCAGCCACACUGGGACUGAGACACGGCCCAGACUCCUACGGGAGGCAGCAGU
RNAcentral lists this ribosomal RNA (306 nucleotides) under uncultured bacterium. RNAcentral describes it as "bacterial SSU rRNA". It matches the Rfam family "Bacterial small subunit ribosomal RNA", at positions 29 to 355 of the family's 1533-position model. The record is from RNAcentral.